GUUAGCCAAAACAUGGAGGCUCCACCACCACAACUUUGAGAAAGUUGUUUGCCACCACCACAACUUUGCCACCACCAAAGAGGAAAGUGCAGCCCCAUUAACUUUGAGAAAGUUGGGAUGUGAGGUGGAAUCAACAAAUGGAGGCUAUAAAUAUGUGCAUCGCAGCAACUUGAAGUGUAUCCCAAAAUUCACAAAAGAAGUCUUGUGAAAGAAGUGCUAGAGAGUGAGAAAAUAUUGUGAGAGAAAACUUCAGUGUGGAAGUUAAACACGAGUGAUAAAAGUGAGUCGAGAGAUAGCCUCUGUGUAGGCAAGAUACAAAAUACAGUGUGGUAUUGUUGUACUCCUCAUUUUGUGAGAUUCUCUAAUAUAUUGGGGUGGGUCCGUGGACGUAGGCAGUUUGGCCGAACCACGUUAAAUAUCGGUGUCAUUAUUUUUCCCGUCUUAGAUAAUUUAUAUCUUUGAUAUUGCUUUC
Salvia miltiorrhiza (redroot sage) is the source of this 472-nucleotide long non-coding RNA. RefSeq lists it as uncharacterized. The transcript is spliced from 2 exons. The record is from RefSeq and is a predicted model, not a curated record. Lineage: Eukaryota; Viridiplantae; Streptophyta; Magnoliopsida; Lamiales; Lamiaceae.